CCUACGGGAGGCAGCAGUAGGGAAUCUUCCGCAAUGGACGCAAGUCUGACGGAGCAACGCCGCGUGAGUGACGAAGGUUUUCGGAUCGUAAAACUCUGUUGUGAGGGAAGAACACGUACCAACUAACUAUUGGUACCUUGACGGUACCUCACCAGAAAGCCACGGCUAACUACGUGCCAGCAGCCGCGGUAAUACGUAGGUGGCAAGCGUUGUCCGGAAUUAUUGGGCGUAAAGCGCGCGCAGGCGGUUCCUUAAGUCUGAUGUGAAAGCCCACGGCUCAACCGUGGAGGGUCAUUGGAAACUGGGGAACUUGAGUGCAGAAGAGGAAAGUGGAAUUCCACGUGUAGCGGUGAAAUGCGUAGAGAUGUGGAGGAACACCAGUGGCGAAGGCGACUUUCUGGUCUGUAACUGACGCUGAGGCGCGAAAGCGUGGGGAGCAAACAGGAUUAGAUACCCUGGUAGUCCACGCCGUAAACGAUGAGUGCUAAGUGUUAGGGGGUUUCCGCCCCGUUACGUGCUGCNGACUACGACAUAAGUACACUCCGCCGUCGGGAGGUACGGACCGGCCGACGGACGNGAACGAACGAAGAAAGUAGUACGGACGUGAGACGAGCCGACGGACGACGACGAGGGAGGAGG
RNAcentral lists this ribosomal RNA (639 nucleotides) under uncultured bacterium. RNAcentral's name for it is "bacterial SSU rRNA". The stretch from base 1 to 547 matches the Rfam family "Bacterial small subunit ribosomal RNA", at positions 338 to 873 of the family's 1533-position model. The record is from RNAcentral.